RNAcentral lists this long non-coding RNA (354 nucleotides) under Rattus norvegicus (Norway rat). Its description in RNAcentral is "long non-coding RNA NONRATT016992". Lineage: Eukaryota; Metazoa; Chordata; Mammalia; Rodentia; Muridae. The record is from RNAcentral.
CGACCGCGGGUCCGCGACACGCGCAUCUCCCGGAGGCGGCGGCCCUCGUCUCAGACGAGGAAAGCCGCAGCUCAAGAGCCCGCGACCACACGACGCGGGGCGCCGCCGCCGCCUCCUCACUCGGAAAGACCCGGCGCAGCCAUCUUCCCUUGGCUCCUCUCGCGAGAGCUCCGAAGGAAACGCCGAGGAGUAUUAGCUGGCCUCUCCUGCGCUCGCGUCUGUGUCCGGCCAGCGCCCGCGCUCCCCUCGCACAGAGUUCCACGCUGGGGCGGGCCCUGCGGUUGGAGACCCAAGGCUCAGAACUCUAAACUGGUGCUCUGGGCCUUUGCAAAGAAGGAGGUCAACAGCAGUUAC